GAUGACUUUUGACCUUCCGGACUAAUUUUCAAGUUUACAAAUUUUAUUAUUGAAAACGUAAUGUUUCGUACUAUCAAACCAAUAUGCGUGCUUCAGAUAACAUUUUGAAUCGGAAAAAAAAUCGAACGACCAGGAUCAACAAAUUGCAAUUGAUAGAAAUUACGCACUUCAUCUUUCCUGCCAAUUCGAGAUUCUAGCGGCGAGGCGCUUCAAUGGCCGGCUAAUAACUUCGCCAUUUUGCGACAAUUUAUGAUGAGUACAUUUUUCUUGUACUGUCCGAAUGUGUUUUAAAAUACACUCGAAAUUUUAAAAAGCAUCGUUAGUUAUCUCCGAUUGGAAAAAAUAACCAACAAUCAACGUUUCGCUUAAAAAUUAUGCUAUGCUGCUAUUUCUGCACAAUUUCGAGGUGUAACCCGAGGUGGUUGGAGAUGGUUGAGCGUGGUUAGUGGUGGUCAGGGUGAACGAAAGGGAGGACGAGGAAGACGAGGAGAACAAGGGAGACAAGGAGGACGAGGAUUUGUGCUCGGCAUAACCCGAGGUGAUUAUCGGUGGUUGUUGGAGGUGGUUGGCGGUGGUUAAAGGUGGUCGGAGGUGGACGAGGAGGAGGACGAGGAAGACGAGGAAAACAAGGUGGACGAGGAGGACGAGGAUUUG
Neodiprion fabricii is the source of this 654-nucleotide long non-coding RNA. RefSeq lists it as uncharacterized. The record is from RefSeq and is a predicted model, not a curated record. Lineage: Eukaryota; Metazoa; Arthropoda; Insecta; Hymenoptera; Diprionidae. The transcript is spliced from 5 exons.